CUCCUUCACUAGACAGUUCCGAUCGCUGAAAGUGGGAGAGGAGAGAUGUUAACAGAGAAGCUACAGGAACUUUGUUUCAACAAAAAAGCGCGAAAACAUACUUUCAUAUCCGUAAAGAGUCAGAUAUCUGAAAACAUACGGGAGCUAAUUCAAUCGUUAUUGUGAUGUUGGAAGCAUGGAAGCCAAUUUACACCCAGUAAGGAUGAACAAACAGAAAAAUGACACGGACCUGAGGGAUUAUAUCCUUAAGUAUGAAAACCAUACAAGUGACUAUUAGAAGAACAGAAGGACAUAUAUAUGAAGGCAUUCACCUGAGGUCAAAGCUGUCUCAUUUCCAUUCUGAACAGUCCUGAUGAACCGAAAUGCCGUCUGCUUACUCCUCUCCAUAGAUGCUGCCUGACCUAUUGAGCCCAUCGAGCAUUCUGAGUGUGUUGUGUAGCGGUUACUUCAAAUACAAAUGAAAACCGCUGGGAGACUGAGUGAGGGAAUUAAUACUGGAUGACGUGCUUCCAAAUAACUGAGUUCCAUGUCAAAGAAGCUAUGUUUGAUCCUUUAUUAUGAAACCAGCAAGAGCUAACAAAACUAGUGGGAUUAGCAAUAACAGAAUUAGAAUUAUAAGUGAGGCUAGUGAUAACAGAAUUAGCAAAAUGACAGUAACUAACAGUACCAAAAAACAUCUAACCCCUACUCUCUCUAUCUCUAACUAAACUAACAGCUCAAAGACUGGAUACGUGACUACACUCAUUUACUUCUACCACGCCCAAACGCAUGUGAGGAAUUACUGAAACCCAUAAUAAAUGUGCGACACAAUGCAAUAUGGACAGACAGAAAAUAAAUACUUUGCUCCUACAUGUUUUUUUUUGUUAUUUCCACUCUGAGUUUGUGGAUUCUAUGAGGCCUGUGUGGGCACUUAUCCAUGAAUGGGACAAGAAGUGACUGUUGGAGUGGAUGGCCGGUACUUUGUGAGGUGGUUUGUUGAAGACUUGGCCUCUGUUUGCUCCUGGUGCAAGCCCUUGAGAUUUGGAAUGCCACCCAAAAUGCUGAUACUUUCCUUGGAGUGACCUUGGACCAGAGAUUCCCAGGAGUUAGUGGGGAUUUUGCACUUUCUCAAAAAAGCUUUCAGUAUCUUUCUCUUCAGUCUUCCCGGCAAUCACAUGCCAUGACCGUGCUCAGAAAAGCUCAGGAAAGUUUCAGGCGACGCGUGUUGACUGUGAAAACAAAGUGGCUUACCCAACAUAGUCGGCUAUAUAAGGACUGGCCUCAGUACAAGGGAUGUCGGAAGAUACCAAAGUUGGCUCACUAAUCCUUCCAGUGAGUUUGGGAGAUUUUGUAGAGACAAUAUUGAUGCAUCUUUCCAGUGUCUUGAGAUACCCGCUGAAGGUAGUCCAGGUCAUAGAAGCAUAUCUGCUGGCUAGUAGACAUUGAACUUCAUUGAAGCUCAGAUGCUUCAUCUUCAAAACCCUUUUUCUUUAUCAAUUAAGAACAAUAAUGGCACAUAGGUGAAUUUAUUCACUCUUGUCUGCCUUUGCCCAGAGUUGGCUCUCAAAAUAUGGAAAUGGCCCAUUUUUCCAGGAUCUUGCCAUGAACCUUAUGGUCAUGGGGCAAUGUAGAGCAGUACUGCAGGUUGGUGAAGAACUUGCCAAUAUUACAUCCUUUUCUAUGCCUCUGUGAUGAUAGCUUAGAUCUCAGCCUCUGUUUGCAUGCAGAAAAUUGUGUCUCAGUAUACUACAAUCCAUGAAUGAGCUUUGCCCUGAUCUGGACUGUCAUCGCCGUAGGUGGAAUGGCUGCCUUCUGGUCAUUAAGAUUAGUCGCACUCCUGCAGAAAGUUUGAAGAAAGUGAGUUUCAACUUCUCAGGCCUAUUUGAAGAUAAGAUUAGCUUUAUUUGUCACAUGUACAUCGGGCCAUCAAAACAUGCAGUAAAAUGCUUCAUUUUCAUCAAAUCAGAUCAGCGAGGAUUGUGCUGGGCAUUGCGUAAGUGCCACAACACUUCCAGCACCAGCAUUGCAUGCCCAUCUUCACUAACCCUAACCAUAUGUCUUUGGGUGUUUUGGGGGUUAGCACAUAUUGCAAAUAACUUCAUCAACCAAUCUUCAAAUAUGAAUCUAGACUAUAGAUUAAAUUUAAAAUGCAGCUCUGAGCAAUGGGUUCCUAAGAGCCGUGAAUCACAGUUAAAGGGAAGACCAAGCAAUGCUGAUUAAAAUUGAUUUAGGUGUCUGUGGUGUGGGUGCAAAGUGGGAGGUGGAAAGUUUGGGUGUGGUUCAAAGAAAGCAUUGUGAAUGUAUUGUAAAUAUGGAAUUGUCCUUUGAUCUUUAACACAUAAAAUGUCAUGUAGCGUUGGGUUGAGUAGGCCUCUUCUUCUGAAGGCGGAAACAGGAGCAGCUGGAGGAAAUCCAUGUAGUCACGAGGAGAAUGUACAAAGAAAGUGUUUGUUUAUGGUGGAGCCAUUGGUUAAUAUUAUGACUUGCAUACCAUUGUAGACCAAAUGUAACAUGGAGAUGAAUUUCUGUCUAUAGCCAAAUUUAAGGUGGAUGUUUCACAAUCCCUCCCAAUUGAUGAACUCAAAGACGUUGGCAAAGUCCAAUAAGGUCAUGUCAAAUUGUUGCUGUUGUCCUUUACAUCUUUUCUGAACUCGUGUGGUGAAGAUCAUGUCUCCUGUUCCCCUGAAAAAGACAGCAUUCACACUGUGAUGUGGGGAGUGGCUGUUUGGCCCCUGUCAGGAUUGGUUGAGGAUGACCGUGGCAAAGAAUUCUUCUGUGGCAGAUAGCAGGGAGAAUAUUCUGUAGUUCCCACAGAUGGUCAUCUUGGAGUUAGAAUUAAUGCAACAUGCACUGAGAUACAGUGAAAAGCUUGUCUUGCAUUACUGUUCAUACAGAUCAAAUCAUUGCUCAGUGCAUUGAGGAAGAACAAGGUAAAAACAGUAGCAGAAUGCAGAAUAGAGUGCAACAGCUAACGUGCAGUAUAAGUAGGAAAUAAAGUGCAAGAUCAUACUGAGGUAAAUUGUGAGAUUAUGAGUCCAUCUUAUACUAUAAAACCAUUCAAUAAUCUUAUAACAGUGGUGGAGAAGCUGUCCUUCAGCCCAGUGGUAUGUGCUUUUAGGCUUUUUUAUCUUCUGGAAGAGGGGUCCACAAACUGGGGUCCUCAGAUUUCUCAGUUAAUGGUAGGGGUCCAUGGCAUAAAAAAGAUUGGGAUCCCUUGUUACAGGUAUAUAACACCUUGGUCAGACCCCAGCUGGAGUACUGUGUUCAUUUCUGGUCACCUCACUACAGGAAGGAUGUGGAUACUAUAGAAAGAGUGCAGAGGAGAUUUACAAAGAUGUUGCCUGGAUUGAAGAACGUGCCUUACAAGCAUAGGUUGGGUGAACUUGGCAAUUUCUCCUUGGAGGGAUACUGGAUGAGAGGGACCCCCGGUAGAGAUUUAUAAGAUGAUGAGAGGCAUUGAUCGUGUGGAUAGCCAGAGGCUUUGUCCCAGAGCUGAAAUGGCUAACACGAAGGGACAUAGUUUUAAGAUGCUUGGAAGUAGGUACAGAGGGGAUGUCAGGGGUAGGUCUUUCACACAGAGAAUGGUGGGUGCGUGGAAUGCACUGCUGGCAAUGGUGAUGGAAGCGGAUGCAAUAGGGUCUUUUAAGAGACUCUUAGAUAGGUACAUGGAGCUUACAAAAUAGAGGGCUGUGCGGUAGGGAAAUUCUAAGCAGUUUCUAGAGUAGGUUACAUGGUUGGCACAACAUUGUGGGCUGAAGGGCCUGUAAUAUGCUAUAGAUUUCUGUGUUCUAUGUUUUAUGUUCUAACCCCCACUCUAGAUCUUCCCUCUUGCUGAUUCCAGUCCCCUCCUUAAGAAUCUUUUUUUGGAAAAGAAUGCUCCAAAAUUUAUCAGCUCUCUGUAUAAAGAUAUGUUAUCUAACAUCAUAAACAAGAGAAAUGCUGGAAAUCCAAAGUAACACACACAAAGGUCUAACAUUAGCUCUGGAUGUUCACACUGUGUUUCCAAGUUAACCCUGGCCUUGUGGAUCCUCUCACUAGAAUAAACUA
Molecule: long non-coding RNA, 4026 nt
Organism: Mobula hypostoma (lesser devil ray)
Lineage: Eukaryota; Metazoa; Chordata; Chondrichthyes; Myliobatiformes; Myliobatidae
Exons: 3
Source: RefSeq, a predicted model, not a curated record